GGCGAGCUGACGGAGCACGCCGCGUGAGUGAUGAAGGUCUUCGGAUCGUAAAACUCUGUUAUUAGGGAAGAACAAAUGUGUAAGUAACUAUGCACGUCUUGACGGUACCUAAUCAGAAAGCCACGGCUAACUACGUGCCAGCAGCCGCGGUAAUACGUAGGUGGCAAGCGUUAUCCGGAAUUAUUGGGCGUAAAGCGCGCGUAGGCGGUUUUUUAAGUCUGAUGUGAAAGCCCACGGCUCAACCGUGGAGGGUCAUUGGAAACUGGAAAACUUGAGUGCAGAAGAGGAAAGUGGAAUUCCAUGUGUAGCGGUGAAAUGCGCAGAGAUAUGGAGGAACACCAGUGGCGAAGGCGACUUUCUGGUCUGUAACUGACGCUGAUGUGCGAAAGCGUGGGGAUCAAACAGGAUUAGAUACC
This 416-nucleotide ribosomal RNA is filed under the name Staphylococcus epidermidis. Its description in RNAcentral is "bacterial SSU rRNA". It matches the Rfam family "Bacterial small subunit ribosomal RNA", at positions 377 to 786 of the family's 1533-position model. Lineage: Bacteria; Bacillati; Bacillota; Bacilli; Caryophanales; Staphylococcaceae. The record is from RNAcentral.